RNAcentral lists this ribosomal RNA (552 nucleotides) under uncultured bacterium. RNAcentral describes it as "partial 16S ribosomal RNA". It matches the Rfam family "Bacterial small subunit ribosomal RNA", at positions 354 to 897 of the family's 1533-position model. The record is from RNAcentral.
UAGNNNNNNCUUCGGCAAUGGACGGAAGUCUGACCGAGCAACGCCGCGUGAGUGAANAAAGUUUUCGGAUCGUAAAGCUCUGUUGUAAGAGAAGAACGAGUGUGAGAGUGGAAAGUUCACACUGUGACGGUAUCUUACCAGAAAGGGACGGCUAACUACGUGCCAGCAGCCGCGGUAAUACGUAGGUCCCGAGCGUUGUCCGGAUUUAUUGGGCGUAAAGCGAGCGCAGGCGGUUAGAUAAGUCUGAAGUUAAAGGCUGUGGCUUAACCAUAGUACGCUUUGGAAACUGUUUAACUUGAGUGCAAGAGGGGAGAGUGGAACUCCAUGUGUAGCGGUGAAAUGCGUAGAUAUAUGGAGGAACACCGGUGGCGAAAGCGGCUCUCUGGCUUGUAACUGACGCUGAGGCUCGAAAGCGUGGGGAGCAAACAGGAUUAGAUACCCUGGUAGUCCACGCCGUAAACGAUGAGUGCUAGGUGUUAGACCCUUUCCGGGGUUUAGUGCCGCAGCUAACGCAUUAANCANUCCGCCUGGGGAGNANNACCGCANGGNUGA